GUUUUUCUAGUAUAAAUAGUACAACUGACUUCCAAUCAGUAAGCUUGAUCAAGGAUCAAGAAAAACA
This 67-nucleotide transfer RNA is filed under the name Filchnerella sunanensis. RNAcentral's name for it is "tRNA-Gly". It matches the Rfam family "tRNA". From Rfam's summary of the family: Transfer RNA (tRNA) molecules are approximately 80 nucleotides in length. Lineage: Eukaryota; Metazoa; Arthropoda; Insecta; Orthoptera; Pamphagidae. The record is from RNAcentral.